RNAcentral lists this long non-coding RNA (316 nucleotides) under Homo sapiens (human). RNAcentral describes it as "non-protein coding lnc-ZNF416-1:1". The record is from RNAcentral. Lineage: Eukaryota; Metazoa; Chordata; Mammalia; Primates; Hominidae.
AGUUCUCACCGCUUCUUGGGCUGGCAGAGGUCGCCCUUCUCCUGGACCUCAGGGAGGAAUGACCCCGUUGCUAUGGAGAAAGGUGGAGGGGAAGGCUGAGAGGUGGUGUCUCCAGCCUCCUUGGACAAGGGAGGAGCUUCGCUGCUUUUUUAAGUGCAGUCAUAUAUAAGUCUAUAAGUACAUUUGGCUUGGCUCUGGAAAUGUUUACCCUGAAGACACAUAGAGCAGAUAGCUCUUCAGUUGCUGAAUUUAAGUCCUGUCUGAAAAGGAAAGGGAGAAGGUGUGGCUCCAGCAUGAUUUCAUAUAGAAAGGUAAG